AAUGAACGCUGGCGGUAGGCCUAACACAUGCAAGUCGAACGGCAGCAUAGUAAGAGCUUGCUCUUACGGGCGGCGAGCGGCGGAAGGUUGAGGAAUACUUCGGAAUCUACUUUUUCGUGGGGGCUAACGUAGGGAAAAUUACGCUAACACCGCAUACGACCUACGGGUGAGAGCCGGGGAUCUUCUGACCAUGCGCGAUUGAAUGAGCCUAUGUCGGAUUAGCUAGUUGGCGGGGUAAAGGCCCAGCAAGGCGACGAUCGGUAGCGGGUCUGACAGAAUGAUCGGCCACACGGGAACUGAGACACGGGCCAGACUCCGGCGGUAGGCAGCGGUAGGGAAUAUUGGGCAAUGAGCGAAAGCCUGAUACAGCCAAACCGCGUGAAUGAAGAUGGCCUUCGGGUUGGAAAGCCCUUUUGGUGUGAAAGAAAUAAAGCCGGUUUAUCCCGCACUAUUCUGACAGUACCCAAAGAAUAAGCUCCGGCUAACUUCGUG
Molecule: ribosomal RNA, 492 nt
Filed under: uncultured bacterium
Lineage: Bacteria
Description: partial 16S ribosomal RNA
Rfam family: Bacterial small subunit ribosomal RNA
Source: RNAcentral